UAUAGGUAUUAUCUAGGCAAUUUUUUUAGUUUCUUAUUUUAAAAAAAAUUCCCAAUACUUCAGAUGCAUUCAAAUGUUAACAGUAUAUCACAUUCCUUGUUGUGAACAGUUAUUACAUUGUUAUAUUUGUGGUUGGAUUACAUAUUCAUAUCAGAGGCUUUUGAUUUUGAUUUAAUUAGGAAAAUAUACUUGCCGAUUAUUAUGUUUGCUUAUUAUCUUUAUUUAAAAAACACCUUUCUUGUACAUAAUUGAAUAUUUUGGUAAAAUUGGAGAUUGACUGUCAGACGAUGAAAAGAGCAUUACUUCAGAUUGGACAUAUAAAAUCAUAAUGGUUGAUUGGAGUCACUGCCUAAUAUGAUAUAUAUGUUGUCAAGAACUCAUUAUAAAUCCAUCUCUGAUAUAGAUAAGGGCUAUUCUGUUAAAUGUAUGUUGGAGGGAAGUUUGAUGAUUGGAUGUGGGUCAUGGGUCUUUUUUCAGUAUGCCUUUAUUACCAGUAUCCAAAAUUAUAAGAUAAAUUGUUCUUGGUUGUAGUGAUAUUUUGAAAGUCCCUUCUGACCCUCCCAAAUACAUUUUAAUGAAAUAACCCUAAGGAAUCUUAUAUUGAAAUUCCCUUGAUAUCUCCACAUAAUUUCACGUUUUCAAUGUAAAAAAACAUUUUUUUGGCUUUUACCAUACCUAUAGUUUUACUAUAUCUUUAUUUCAUUUUUUUCCUCCAAAUAUUUGGAAGUACUAACACAUCCUAACAAAAGUGCAUAUUAUAUAUAUAUGAAUAUAUCUUGUAUUAUACCUCUCACUCAUAUUAUGGUGCUUGUAAUUCUAAUGUAGUCGGGAGUUUUUCUGUUUUUGAUUCAUUUGGUAUUUGUGAAUUGAUUUAAUAUUAGGCAACAUUUGAGCUGCGUGGCAUAGAAUCUUUGUUGGGCUGAAAAAGUCUCUAGUGAAAGUUGGUUAAUUUUUGCAAAUUAUAAGAACCCUAGACCUACAAAACAAACCAAAAUUCAAAUAAUAUUUCGAAUUUGAAUAUUCCAAAAUUGAUCAAAGUUAUAAGCACAUACAUGUAUACGUGCACUUGCAUAAGGUUGGUUUCUUUGCGAUGCAGCUCAUUUUUUACUCUAUGUUCUAAGAGGUGCAAGAUGAUCAAUAUGAAAUUCACUGUAAAAUAAUAAAUUCAUGUUAACAAUGGUCUGUUUGUUUGAUAAUUUACCAUUUAUAAUUGCAAGUAAAUAUUACUUUAGGUCAUGCUAUAAAUAAACAGUACCAUCUGAAAAACAGUAAAAAUUCCUGACUGAUAAUGUGUGUGUUCUAUACAGGGCAUUAGUAUAUAUCUAAUUAUUAAGUGUAUUAGAAUCUCUAAUCUAAGAAUUCCACAUGAAUAAAGAUCAGGUGUUGUCAGUGAAGACUUUUGUCACAAUGUUCUCAAAAGAUAACUUAAGUAACUAGGGAUCUGUAG
Molecule: long non-coding RNA, 1447 nt
Filed under: Mytilus galloprovincialis (Mediterranean mussel)
Lineage: Eukaryota; Metazoa; Mollusca; Bivalvia; Mytilida; Mytilidae
Source: RNAcentral